Molecule: non-coding RNA, 106 nt
Organism: Phaseolus vulgaris (common bean)
Lineage: Eukaryota; Viridiplantae; Streptophyta; Magnoliopsida; Fabales; Fabaceae
Source: Rfam
AAGCCAUGAUUAGGACAUUUUCUUAACAUCACUUUAAAGCGUUCCCAAGCUUCACAAAAUGGUUCAUCUGGCCCUUGCCCGAAUGUGGAGAUAUCAGACUUAGCCU